GAACGGGCGUGCGCGUAUGCCGUGCACAAAUGCUGACCUCCGCACCGUCUCUCUGCAGCCUCCUCUCCUCUCGAAAGCUAAGGGCCUCUUCGCGCUACUCGACCACCCACCCCCUCCCCGCGCGUCUGCAGCCCUCUCUCUCGCUCUGUGUGUGUGUGUGUGUGUGUGUGUGUGUGUGUGUGUGACGGAGGCACUGCCGGAGGUGGCACACGCGUUCCGGUGACCCACACGCCCUCCAGGUGCUCGCUAUGCUCCGGCGAGGUCUGUGGCGAUAUCGCCGAAUCAGCUACGUGACGGAUGUCGAGGGGGACUUCGCGUACUUUCAGCGCUUCGUCUGUAUCUCACGAGUGCUUCGGUGGGAACCGGCGGAGGCUGCGGUCUCCUCCAACCCUCCCCGCCCUUUCGCCGGGGGCAGCAACGGCUCGAGAGUCGCGAAUGGUCGGUGGGCCCCCUUGUCCUCUGCCGUGCUUUCGGCCCCCUCGGGGGCGUUCCCAGCAAGCGAUGCUGCUGCCAGCACGCAAGCACUGGGCACCACCACCACGCCUGCCGUCACGGAUGCCUACGAGCCGGAGUAUUGCCGUCUUGUUGACCUCUCUCGCUAUCGUCUAGGCUUCCAAGACGCGACCUCACACUUCGUCUUUGGUGGCGACGCCUUCGACCACGGCAGCGACAUCACGUUCGGCAAGGCGCUGCUCGACUUCAAGCGCCGCUUCCCAUCACGCGUGCACCUGCUGCUUGGGAACCGGGACGUGAACAAGAUGGCCAUGUACCCACGCAUGGCGUGCGAGGUCGAGGGCAUGGCCCCCGACGCAGCCGAGGACAGCGUCUUCACGCUAACGCCGCCAUCGAUGAAGACCGUCAGGGCGGCGUCGCUGACGGAAGCGCUGCGGUACCGAGACUUCCUACUGGAGCAGCGACAGCGACAAGAAGCGCAACGCCAGGACGGCGCAGGGCACGCCGCAUCAAGCCCGUAUGGCGGCGCCUCUUGCGGCAGCAGCGGCGAUACCCUGCGCACAGACGCCGUUUCUUUCCUGCAGUGGGCAUUGCAGUACAAACUCGGCGGCCCGAACGCCUUUGCCCACCGGCGGCAGGAGUUGCGCGAGAUGGCGGCCAUGAUGGCCGAAGGGUGUGGGGCGGUGGCGGCGGCACCCCCCGCCGCUGGUGCGGAGGCUAUGAGGGACGGCAUUGCGUAUGACGAAGACGCCGUGGUCGCCGCCUCGUUCUUCACUGCCGCGCAGCCCGGAGGCGUCUACUACGAGUACAUCCGCGCUGGCGUUCUCAGCGUCGUCCUGGACGGCGUCCUUUUCGUCCACGGAGGCGUGAACGCCAGCAACGCCGGCUUUGUGCCAAGCCUGGAGGCGACCUCCUACGCGGAGCAGGUGGCCGUUGGGCAGUGGUGGCUGCCAGAGGUCGCUCCGCAGGAGGUGACGACCACGCCGACUGCGUCCUCGGCGACCUCGGCGCUGGGCUGGCUCGCUGCCUUGGAGCAGUUUAAAGCGGCUGCCUUCUCCGAUUGGGUGAACGGCGCUGCCCUGCGCGGCGAGGCGCUGCGCGCGUACGUGUACCCCCGCGUUGUGGCCCCGCACUCGAUCGCGGUGGGGACGGUGAUGAACGCAGACGGCCCUCACUACAUACCUCUCACUGUUGCCGCCUACCUUCUCCAGUCCGGCAUCCACACCGUGUGCGCCGGGCACCAGCCGGUCGGCGACACCCCCGCCAUCAUCCGCCAGCCCGGUGGCUUCACGAUCAUAGACGCGGACAACUCCUACUGCGGCCGUGGCAACAAGUUCUGCACGCGGUUCAACCGCCGCGGCGCGGCGGUGAUGGAGGUCUUGUUUGAGCACCCGGACGACCACGGCGGCGACGAUAACGUGGCGCCGCACGACGAGGUUGCUGCGCCAUCGCUGACCGUCCACGGCUACCGUGCCGAUGGUACGCCUUUCGAGUUCGACGUCUACAGCGACUGGCGCGUCGGGCGUUACGUCGGCGACGGUUGGUGGGUGCGGCUGCCCCCAGAGGCCACCGCUGCCACUUCAUCGUCUUUCAGAGGCAACGAGGCAGCGCACGCGGGACUCUACGAGCUGCGCCGCACCCAGGACGGGUUCCGGCACGAGGAGACGCGGUGGGCCACAGCAGCGGAGGUAGACGCGUGGCUGAGGCAGGUCGCGGCAAGCGGGAAGGCGACGGUGCCGGGAGAGUUGGCGCCGCGGCACACGAAAGAGGAGCUCGCCGAGGUGCGCGCCCACCGCCUCAAGACGAAGGUGAAGCGCACCUGAGCAGUCUAGUGUGAUGUGGCGGCGCCCCCUUCGCGUUCGACAGCAGCGCACCUUGUUCUUCAUGGAUGCAUGCCUGUGUGCGCCCACGACCACCACCCAGCAUGUCGUCGCCGGCCCGCUCCAUUGCACACAUUGAUGCGCGUGUGUGAGCACCGUUUCGGCAACGGGUGCGUAGCCUGGGCAUGGCUGGUGGGGGCGGGGCGGGGGCAGUGGAGCAAGAACAAAAUG
This 2504-nucleotide unclassified non-coding RNA is filed under the name Leishmania donovani. Its description in RNAcentral is "gene:LdHU3.05.0500(CDS-product:hypothetical_prote in_conserved)". The record is from RNAcentral. Lineage: Eukaryota; Euglenozoa; Kinetoplastea; Trypanosomatida; Trypanosomatidae.